Molecule: ribosomal RNA, 301 nt
Filed under: uncultured bacterium
Lineage: Bacteria
Description: partial 16S ribosomal RNA
Rfam family: Bacterial small subunit ribosomal RNA
Source: RNAcentral
CAGUCGCCGCGGGAAUACGUAGGGUGCGAGCGUUAAUCGGAAUUACUGGGCGUAAAGCGUGCGCAGGCGGUUUUGUAAGACAGAGGUGAAAUCCCCGGGCUCAACCUGGGAACUGCCUUUGUGACUGCAAGGCUAGAGUACGGCAGAGGGGGAUGGAAUUCCGCGUGUAGCAGUGAAAUGCGUAGAUAUGCGGAGGAACACCGAUGGCGAAGGCAAUCCCCUGGGCCUGUACUGACGCUCAUGCACGAAAGCGUGGGGAGCAAACAGGAUUAGAUACCCCAGUAGUCCCUGUCUCUUAUAA